AUCUUUGCGCUUGGGGCAAUGACCUAACUAAUGAGGUUCUAACCGAGACUUGUCUAUUGCUGGUUGAAAACUAUUUUCAAAUCCUCUCUUCGGCUUGAGCUUGAGAAUUUCUGGAAGGCUCCCUUUGGGG
Molecule: small nuclear RNA, 130 nt
Filed under: Cephalotus follicularis
Lineage: Eukaryota; Viridiplantae; Streptophyta; Magnoliopsida; Oxalidales; Cephalotaceae
Description: U4 spliceosomal RNA
Rfam family: U4 spliceosomal RNA
About the family: U4 small nuclear RNA (U4 snRNA) is a component of the major U2-dependent spliceosome.
Source: Rfam by way of RNAcentral